Molecule: ribosomal RNA, 253 nt
Filed under: uncultured bacterium
Lineage: Bacteria
Description: partial 16S ribosomal RNA
Rfam family: Bacterial small subunit ribosomal RNA
Source: RNAcentral
UACAUGGGGUGCAAACGUUGCUCGGAAUCAUUGGGCGUAAAGCGCACGUAGGCGGUUCGUUAUGUCGGAUGUGAAAGCCCUCGGCUUAACCGGGGAAGUGCAUCCGAAACUGGCGAGCUUGAGUACUAAAGAGGGUCGCGGAAUUCCCGGUGUAGAGGUGAAAUUCGUAGAUAUUGGGAAGAACACCGGUGGCGAAGGCGGCGAGCUGGUCCAUUACUGACGCUGAGGCGCGACAGCGUGGGGAGCAAACAGG